GUGAUUAGAAGCAGUUGUGGUAGUAAGCAAAACUCAAAUACCCCAAGUUGUGAUCAUAUACAGAAUCAAUAUUCAUACAAAGGAGGUCAAGGGGUUUGGGACACACAUAUAUCUUAUUGUAAACAAAUAACCCCAUUAAGGGUCUUAGGACUAGUUGGACAUGCACAGCAAUGGUUGAUACUUGUAUGAUCACAGGCUAGUCAGAAAUAACAUAAGCACAUUGAGGGUAUAUGGACUUGGGAUGGCAAGUGCACAAUAAGUGACUGACAGACCAUGCCUUGAAACACACAUAAGGGAGUGCAUUAAUCUAAAGGGGAAGGGGAUACAUUAUAGCAUGCUAGUAAUGCACCUUAACAGAACCACAAGCAGGAGUAGAUAAAAAAUGAAAGAAGCUAAAACAAAUAAGGCAGCAUGUUGUUGUUGGAGCUUUAAAAUUAAACUACGACAUACCAGUCAAAGAAGCAAAGUGCAAAAAGAAAAGUAAGCACGAUUCCACAGUCUAGCCUUGGCUUUCAGCCGGCUAAACAAAGAAGUAGCACAAGUAAUAAUUUAGAAAAAAAGAGUUUUCAGUGUGUAAGUGUGUGUUCUAAACUCAAUUGUUUGUGUCUUGCUAAUGAAAAUAUUGGAAUAUUUAUAGCUUUAAAAACGAGAAGAAAUUAAGUUUACAAGUAAAAAGUUUAACAAAGAUAUGGAAAUAAUAACGACCAAAAUCAAUUAAUACAAGUACUUCCUUUUAAUCAAGGAAUUACUGCCUAACGGAUACUAACAUGGAUAACUAAGGAACGAGAAUCAAUUUGAGAAAGAUUGAUUUCUGACCAUAUAAGGGAUAGUAAAAUAUGAAGUAUACAAUUGAGUCUAGGUACAAAAUAUGUUUAAUUGGGGAAAGGAUUCAGCAGGAUAAUACAUCACAGCAAAGGAAAGGAAUCAAUCAAUUUUAAAUAAAAUUAGUAAAAUUAGGGUUUGUAAGAAAACCUUGCAAUCAAACCGUCACUUAAGGAAAUUAAGAUGAAUCAAGAAGUGGUCAUGAUUCUGUACUUCAACAUACAAAUGGAAAGGAAUGCAGGGGUGUAUUAGACAUGAAGGGUCACACAUAAAGGAUCAAACUGGAUGAACAUAAACAUAUAGGAGUGACAUGAAUAGGUUAAGGACUGUUCAAAGCAUGGUAAUCGACAAGGUCAGACAGUCACGGAUCAUACGUAGAACCAAAGCGAAGAAAUCAGUCUAACAGGUAAAGAAAGUCAGAAACAAGUAAAUAACUCAUUAAACUCACAGUAAUGAGUGAGGAAACCUUUGCAAUUAGGGUUUAUGCAAAUUGUCGAGUUAAAAAUGGUAAUAACUUAGAACCAGAUAAGUUAAACAAGAAAAAGGAUUCAAACACAAAGAACCUAAUUGAACCAAGCAUUCCUAUAAAAUAAACAAAGAGAGACUCAGAACCAUAGAUAAAACCGAAACACUUUGGGUUUUAACACGAUGAACCAGGUAGAAGAAAAACAUAAGCAAAUAGUUUAAACAUAGUAAAACAACAUUACAAAUCGGAGAAGAGAUCUUUCAAAAGAGGUUGAGAAAACCCUAAUCGUUGAAAAUGAAGAGUCAUUUUGAAAGAAAUUGGAGAACCUUUGAGAAAACACCAAGGAUUUCAUAACAUACAUAGAUCUAAGAAAGAUCUGAAAGAAAAAUCAGAAAGCUCUUAAAGGUAGGGUUUCAGAGAACCUAGAAAAGUGAGAAUGACUUCGAAAAGUUACCGAUCAAGCUGGAAAAGCCAUGGAUCCGACUCGAUCGGCCAUGGAUGGCCAGAAAAGACCACAGACAGAAGUCGAGCAGGAUCUGGAUUAUAUCUCUUUGAGAUCUUUUCAUAAAAUCACGAAAACAAACAAAUAUGAGCCAUAAGAGACUGGUACACCUCUCAAACAACCUUGGGAGUCCAUGGAUUAGGUAGGAAUUGAAAGGUAUUAGGGUAGAUUUGGGUGGCGGCAGCUAGGGUUUAGGUGAGAUUGCAAAGAUUUUUGGGAGGAGAGG
Molecule: long non-coding RNA, 2016 nt
Filed under: Nicotiana benthamiana
Lineage: Eukaryota; Viridiplantae; Streptophyta; Magnoliopsida; Solanales; Solanaceae
Description: long non-coding RNA (NBEN_LNC033025)
Source: RNAcentral